RNAcentral lists this ribosomal RNA (253 nucleotides) under uncultured bacterium. RNAcentral's name for it is "partial 16S ribosomal RNA". It matches the Rfam family "Bacterial small subunit ribosomal RNA", at positions 524 to 776 of the family's 1533-position model. The record is from RNAcentral.
UACGGAGGGUGCGAGCGUUAAUCGGAAUAACUGGGCGUAAAGCGCGCGCAGGUGGGCUUUUAAGUGAGGUGUGAAAUCCCCGGGCUUAACCUGGGAAUAGCAUUUCAGACUGGGAGUCUAGAGUACUUUAGGGAGGGGUAGAAUUCCACGUGUAGCGGUGAAAUGCGUAGAGAUGUGGAGGAAUAUCGAAGGCGAAGGCAGCCCCUUGGGAAUGUACUGACGCUCAGGUGCGAAAGCGUGGGGAGCAAACAGG